GACGUAGGGCGCGAGCGUUGUCCGGAUUUAUUGGGCGUAAAGAGCUCGUAGGCGGCUUGUUGCGUCGACUGUGAAAGCCCGAGGCUUAACCUCGGGUCUGCAGUCGAUACGGGCUAGCUAGAGUGUGGUAGGGGAGAUCGGAAUUCCUGGUGUAGCGGUGAAAUGCGCAGAUAUCAGGAGGAACACCGGUGGCGAAGGCGGAUCUCUGGGCCAUUACUGACGCUGAGGAGCGAAAGCGUGGGGAGCGAACAGG
RNAcentral lists this ribosomal RNA (253 nucleotides) under uncultured bacterium. Its description in RNAcentral is "partial 16S ribosomal RNA". It matches the Rfam family "Bacterial small subunit ribosomal RNA", at positions 524 to 776 of the family's 1533-position model. The record is from RNAcentral.